RNAcentral lists this long non-coding RNA (393 nucleotides) under Bos taurus (domestic cattle). RNAcentral describes it as "long non-coding RNA NONBTAT015794". Lineage: Eukaryota; Metazoa; Chordata; Mammalia; Artiodactyla; Bovidae. The record is from RNAcentral.
AUUGGAUUAUUUAAUUGAGGGACAAGGGCUUAGAUAAUCCACAUCAAGGAUUUUGAGAAGGUUUAUGUUUGGGAGACUAUUUUACAUGUUUAGCCUCUAAUUCUGUUUUAGGCUAAUUUUUAACUCAAGUAUUUAUUGAAUUGUUAUUACAAGGUACUGAGACUAAGUUGGAAGAAAAUCUAGCCCCUGCCACCAGCUUAGAGUUGAGUUGGAAUAGUUAUCUAUGAGAGAUUAUGGGAUAAUAAACAGUGUGAAAGUUCACAAGAGGAGAGCCUUGUCAACUGGAUAUUGGCCCUGGAGGCCUUAGAAAGUCAUAUGUUUGGCCUUGAAAGAAUUUAGAGUAAGAAAAGAAUCAGGUUUUAGGUCAGAAGGGAUAGACUCUUACACAGGCUC